AUGAAUGACGCGGCGCUCAUCAUCGACGUCGACGUCGAGCGCAGCGACGUCCAGCCCUCCUCGGCGGUGGUGGCGACCAAGGGAAUCCGGUGGGUGCUGUGCCUGAUCUGCUCCUUCGGUCUCGCCACCGCCUUCAUGUCGGUUGCCUCGGCCAUCUACAAGGCGCCGGCCGGCGUCUUCGACGGCCACACGUGCGCCUACUACGUCUCCGUCAUCACCUCCGGCAUCAUGGGCCUGGCGGAGGCGUGCGCCGCGGUCGUCUGGCUCUCCAGCGCAGCAGAUGAUAACUGGCGGAAGCAGCUCGCACGGCGCUGCGUGCUGUGCGCUUCGCUCCUGCCGCUGGCGUUCAUGGCGGGCCUCGGCGGAGUUCGCAUACUCGUCAAGUAA
This 387-nucleotide ribosomal RNA is filed under the name Triticum aestivum (bread wheat). RNAcentral describes it as "partial small subunit ribosomal RNA". Lineage: Eukaryota; Viridiplantae; Streptophyta; Magnoliopsida; Poales; Poaceae. The record is from RNAcentral.